GUGGUAGAGUUGUAGAUAAAUUUCGUUCUUCAAUGCUUCCAGAAACAAUUGAAGCUCUGAUAUGCACACAAGAUUGGAUAAGAAGUGCGCUAAAGAAUGAGGGAUUUGGGUUAGGUAGUACUUCACUUCAGACUCUUUUGGAGGCAAUGGAGGAGCUCGAAUCAGACGAUGAUGAUGCAACAUCGCACAUUGUCUAACUGACUGACUAUCAAUUUAAGGAACAAUUGGAAAUAUGAUGGUGAAAUCUUUAGUGAACUGGUUGGAACUUCUUUUUGGUAUAUAUAUAUUAUAUAGGCAUAGCCAAAGAACAUGCGAAGUGCGAACUACAUCCUUCUUUUUUGUAUAUGUACUUGUGAAGGAAACACAUUUAUCUUU
Molecule: long non-coding RNA, 375 nt
Organism: Papaver somniferum (opium poppy)
Lineage: Eukaryota; Viridiplantae; Streptophyta; Magnoliopsida; Ranunculales; Papaveraceae
Exons: 3
Source: RefSeq, a predicted model, not a curated record